GACGAACGCUGGCGGCGUGCUUAACAAAUGCAAGUCGAACGGAAAGGCCCUGCUUUUGUGGGGUGCUCGAGUGGCGAACGGGUGAGUAACACGUGAGUAACCUGCCCUUGACUUUGGGAUAACUUCAGGAAACUGGGGCUAAUACCGGAUAGGAGCUCCUGCUGCAUGGUGGGGGUUGGAAAGUUUCGGCGGUUGGGGAUGGACUCGCGGCUUAUCAGCUUGUUGGUGGGGUAGUGGCUUACCAAGGCUUUGACGGGUAGCCGGCCUGAGAGGGUGACCGGCCACAUUGGGACUGAGAUACGGCCCAGACUCCUACGGGAGGCAGCAGUGGGGAAUAUUGCACAAUGGGCGGAAGCCUGAUGCAGCAACGCCGCGUGCGGGAUGACGUCCUUCGGGUUGUAAACCGCUUUCGCCUGUGACGAAGCGUGAGUGACGGUAAUGGGUAAAGAAGCACCGGCUAACUACGUG
Molecule: ribosomal RNA, 468 nt
Filed under: uncultured bacterium
Lineage: Bacteria
Description: partial 16S ribosomal RNA
Rfam family: Bacterial small subunit ribosomal RNA
Source: RNAcentral